Molecule: transfer RNA, 71 nt
Filed under: Danio rerio (zebrafish)
Lineage: Eukaryota; Metazoa; Chordata; Actinopteri; Cypriniformes; Danionidae
Rfam family: tRNA
About the family: Transfer RNA (tRNA) molecules are approximately 80 nucleotides in length. Their secondary structure includes four short double-helical elements and three loops (D, anti-codon, and T loops).
Source: Rfam by way of RNAcentral
GCAUUGGUGCUUCAGUGGUAGAAUUCUCGCCUGCCACGCGGGAGACCUGGGUCCGAUUCCCGGCCAAUGCA